UCUCGAGACUCAGUCGUCUAGUUGAAGGUGAAAAGUGUAUGCGUUUUCGGUGAACAUAAAAGUCGCCAGCGUGUAUAUUAGUAUUACCGAUAGUCGACGCAUUUCUCGAGAGUAAGCAAUGCAACCGAUACGAAAGGCUAACGAGGUGAAUGGAUUGAGGUCUAGCGUUCUUGCGGACGUUAGUUACCAGUCUAUUCGCGCUUAAGUCGUUAGACCGCAGUAUGUAUCGAGCGCUAAUUAAAAUGAAAAUAUGUCGACCGUUUCUGGUUCGUCGAACGAUGGAUAAUCGGCUAGUCGAUUGGUUACCUACUCGUAGGUGCUAAUUCGUCUUAUAUUAUAUCGGUCGAUUUAGAAGUCGUCGACGACUCGACAUAUAGGCGUUUGCAUUGUCAGAGUCGGUCACCCGUCCGACCCGUCUUGAAACACGGACCAAGGAGUCUAACAUAUGCGCGAGCCAAUAGGUGGAAAACCUAAAGGCGCAAUAAAAGUGAAGGCUAUUUUUUUAAAUGGUCGAGGUACGAUCUUGGACUGGUAUUCCCUUAAACAAGGAAUAUUUUUGCUCUAAGCGCAGUACCGUCUCAUCCCUAAGGCAUGUCCUAAGGGUGAAGAUAGAGUGCAUACGUUGGGACCCGAAAGAUGGUGAACUAUGCCUGASCAGAGCGAAGCCAGAGKAAACU
This 677-nucleotide ribosomal RNA is filed under the name Prodorylaimus sp. D21. Its description in RNAcentral is "partial large subunit ribosomal RNA". The record is from RNAcentral. Lineage: Eukaryota; Metazoa; Nematoda; Enoplea; Dorylaimida; Dorylaimidae.